GACGAACGCUGGCGGCGUGCUUAACACAUGCAAGUCGAGCGGAAAGGCCUUUCGGGGUACUCGAGCGGCGAACGGGUGAGUAACACGUGAGUAACCUGCCCUUCACUUUGGGAUAACCCUCGGAAACGGGGGCUAAUACCGGAUAUGACACAGGCUCGCAUGAGGUUCUGUGUGGAAAGUUUUUCGGUGGGGGAUGGGCUCGCGGCCUAUCAGCUUGUUGGUGGGGUGAUGGCCUACCAAGGCGACGACGGGUAGCCGGCCUGAGAGGGCGACCGGCCACACUGGGACUGAGACACGGCCCAGACUCCUACGGGAGGCAGCAGUGGGGAAUAUUGCACAAUGGGCGGAAGCCUGAUGCAGCGACGCCGCGUGAGGGAUGACGGCCUUCGGGUUGUAAACCUCUUUCAGCACCGACGAAGCGAGAGUGACGGUAGGUGCAGAAGAAGCGCCGGCCAACUACGUGCCAGCAGCCGCCGUAAAAC
Molecule: ribosomal RNA, 482 nt
Filed under: uncultured bacterium
Lineage: Bacteria
Description: bacterial SSU rRNA
Rfam family: Bacterial small subunit ribosomal RNA
Source: RNAcentral